Molecule: long non-coding RNA, 1792 nt
Organism: Ananas comosus (pineapple)
Lineage: Eukaryota; Viridiplantae; Streptophyta; Magnoliopsida; Poales; Bromeliaceae
Exons: 3
Source: RefSeq, a predicted model, not a curated record
AUUUGUAGGGACCUAUAUUAUAUAGGAUAUACUUAUUAUUUACUAUAUUUAUAGGGACAUGCAUGAAAUUAAUCGAAAAAAAAAAAAAUGCCAACCACCCAAAUUUGUAAAACCCUAAUCCAAAAUCCGAAGAAAACUAGAGAGCUUGCGCGCGCUCCGGCCAUGGCGGUGAAAGCCCCGACGAAGACGAUGACGUAGAACAAGCGACACCUCCACCAUCAACCUCACAAUUAGAAUAAUCACUGCUAAUUGAAGAUGUUGGCUUAAAGGGGUCAGAGGGCUGAGUCACGUUCGAAAUGGCUGGAGUUCACGAGGCUAGUCAGACUGAGUCACAAUCGAGACCCGUAAGCGCUGUGCUUGUACGCCUUAAAUAAACUGAUUGCGUAAUUUCUAAUAGCCCGAGCUUUUGGGAUUGAUGGUUAGCGCCAACACCUUGACACUAGAUGCAUAUGCUCAUUCCUUCCAUGACAAUAUACUCUUAAAACUUUCGGUUUAUCGAACACUUGGCUUGCGACGUGUGCUAUUGGUGGCUAAACUUACUGCUUUCAUAUUUCAGUGGUUCUCUAAACUUGAAAGUGCUUCUGAUCUUCCUUCCUUGUUGUGCUACAAAAUGACAGCAUUAAUUACUCUAUAGAAUCAGAGGAGAAAUGUUGCAAAGCAUUUUCUGAAACAUCAAAAGCAGGUGAGUUUGAGCACUGCAUUUCCGAAUUUAGGCUUUAUGUCUGAUACUUGUUUCCAGCUCCUCUGAUCUGAAGUUUCUCUCUUUCUUGUUUUGUUAUUAUUUAUGUUCUUUUCCCUGGGAUUUUUUAAUGAGAUUUUUUUUUUGUAGCUAAUAGUGAAAAGUAUUUUUAAACUGAUGUUUAAGGAAAAUUCAUUUUCUGCUAGACAAUCUGUGAGGAAAGCUAGAAGUUGAAACAACCUUUAACAAGAGCAGAGCCUUUCAUCCUGCUUUUAUUCACUUCUAUUUUCAAUCACCUCAUUCAGUGAAGGGCAUUGUCCUUAUGCUCGUUGUUCCGUUCUGAUGCUCGUAUUCUGUUCAAUCUGUAAUGAACUUAUACAGCGGUUGACUCACAUGUGGAGUUUGCUUCAUGUUCAAGAGGCAGUAUCUUCUGUACAUCUUAGGAGCAAACAUUUUUCUCAUGCUUUUUACGCUAAGUGCUCCUUGUUAUAAGCUGUAGUUUUGCAUUACAUUCUUCUCUAAAUUCAGAAUCUUAAGAAUCAGCACCGAGUCAUCUUUUAUUUGUUCCGGCCAAUAGAUUAUAUUCUGAAAUAGAACCCUUUCUCAGUUAGUAAGUCUGCCUUCCUUGCUAACUUAUUGCGGACGUCCGGUAGAAUUCUUUCUUUCUCAUAGUACUUGCUGAGUUUAUACUAUCUGUUUCUUCAAACUGGAAUUCAUACAGUUCGUUCACGUAAACAUCAUCGAUGGUGAACGCCCCUACUUUGACCUCCGUGUUGCUUUUGUCCCGUGCCAUCUCUCUCCUCGCAUCUUAUGUGCUUGUACAAAACCAUUACAUCUGACAAUGCAUCGGUGCCAGCUAAUGAUAUGGUGGAGAGACCUGAGUAUAUUCAAGCGCCCCAAAAGUAUGAACUACUGAAUGUCAUAUGAACUAUAUGGCAUAUGAACUAUAUUUGAUAAUGAAGGCAAAGUGGAGUGCAUUUUCAUUCCCAUAGUUUAAACUAAAGAGUUGUUUGGGAUAUUGGAGCUUAUCAUUCAUCAGAAUACAAUAAAGUGUGCAAGGAAAGGUAACAAUAAUAAUAGCAUACUACAAAAGAAGGAUUUUGGUUCAAUAAA